AACAAGGCGUACCUGCGGACCUGCGGAAGGAUCAUUACAGAGUUGCAAAACUCCCUAAACCAUUGUGAACGUUACCUAAACCGUUGCUUCGGCGGGCGGCCCGGGUCCUUCCCGGCGCCCAUCGGCCCUCGCGGGCGCCCGCCGGAGGUAAACCAAACUAUUGCAUUGUAUGGCCUCUCUGAGUCUUCUGUACUGAAUAAGUCAAAACUUUCAACAACGGAUCUCAGAUCGGAAGAGCAC
RNAcentral lists this unclassified non-coding RNA (240 nucleotides) under soil metagenome. RNAcentral's name for it is "partial contains 5.8S ribosomal RNA, internal transcribed spacer 2, and large subunit ribosomal RNA". The record is from RNAcentral.